CCUACGGGAGGCAGCAGUGGGGAAUAUUGCACAAUGGGGGGAACCCUGAUGCAGCAACGCCGCGUGGGUGAAGAAGUACUUCGGUAUGUAAAGCCCUGUCAGCAGGGGAGAAAAUGACGGUACCUGACCAAGAAGCCCCGGCUAACUACGUGCCAGCAGCCGCGGUAAUACGUAGGGGGCAAGCGUUAUGCGGAUUUACUGGGUGUAAAGGGAGCGUAGACGGCAAGGCAAGUCUGGAGUGAAAGCCCGUGGCUCAACCACGGGACUGCUUUUGAAACUGUGUUGCUGGAGUGCAGGAGGGGUAAGCGGAAUGCCUAGUGUAGCGGUGAAAUGCGUAGAUAUUAGGAGGAACACCGGUGGCGAAGGCGGCUUACUGGACUGUAACUGACGUUGAGGCUCGAAGGCGUGGGGAGCAAACAGGAUUAGAUACCCCAGUAGUC
RNAcentral lists this ribosomal RNA (440 nucleotides) under uncultured bacterium. RNAcentral describes it as "partial 16S ribosomal RNA". It matches the Rfam family "Bacterial small subunit ribosomal RNA", at positions 338 to 795 of the family's 1533-position model. The record is from RNAcentral.